AGAGUUUGAUCCUGGCUCAGAUUGAACGCUGGCGGCAGGCCUAACACAUGCAAGUCGAACGGUAGCACAAAGAGCUUGCUCUUGGGUGACGAGUGGCGGACGGGUGAGUAAUGUCUGGGAAACUGCCCGAUGGAGGGGGAUAACUACUGGAAACGGUAGCUAAUACCGCAUAACGUCGCAAGACCAAAGUGGGGGACCUUCGGGCCUCACACCAUCGGAUGUGCCCAGAUGGGAUUAGCUAGUAGGUGGGGUAAUGGCUCACCUAGGCGACGAUCCCUAGCUGGUCUGAGAGGAUGACCAGCCACACUGGAACUGAGACACGGUCCAGACUCCUACGGGAGGCAGCAGUGGGGAAUAUUGCACAAUGGGCGCAAGCCUGAUGCAGCCAUGCCGCGUGUAUGAAGAAGGCCUUCGGGUUGUAAAGUACUUUCAGCGAGGAGGAAGGCAUUAAGGUUAAUAACCUUGGUGAUUGACGUUACUCGCAGAAGAAGCACCGGCUAACUCCGUGCCAGCAGCCGCGGUAAUACGGAGGGUGCAAGCGUUAAUCGGAAUUACUGGGCGUAAAGCGCACGCAGGCGGUCUGUCAAGUCGGAUGUGAAAUCCCCGGGCUCAACCUGGGGAACUGCAUUCGAAACUGGCAGGCUAGAGUCUUGUAGAGGGGGGUAGAAUUCCAGGUGUAGCGGUGAAAUGCGUAGAGAUCUGGAGGAAUACCGGUGGCGAAGGCGGCCCCCUGGACAAAGACUGACGCUCAGGUGCGAAAGCGUGGGGAGCAAACAGGAUUAGAUACCCUGGUAGUCCACGCCGUAAACGAUGUCGACUUGGAGGUUGUGCCCUUGAGGCGUGGCUUCCGGAGCUAACGCGUUAAGUCGACCGCCUGGGGAGUACGGCCGCAAGGUUAAAACUCAAAUGAAUUGACGGGGGCCCGCACAAGCGGUGGAGCAUGUGGUUUAAUUCGAUGCAACGCGAAGAACCUUACCUACUCUUGACAUCCAGAGAACUUUCCAGAGAUGGAUUGGUGCCUUCGGGAACUCUGAGACAGGUGCUGCAUGGCUGUCGUCAGCUCGUGUUGUGAAAUGUUGGGUUAAGUCCCGCAACGAGCGCAACCCUUAUCCUUUGUUGCCAGCGGUUCGGCCGGGAACUCAAAGGAGACUGCCAGUGAUAAACUGGAGGAAGGUGGGGAUGACGUCAAGUCAUCAUGGCCCUUACGAGUAGGGCUACACACGUGCUACAAUGGCAUAUACAAAGAGAAGCGACCUCGCGAGAGCAAGCGGACCUCAUAAAGUAUGUCGUAGUCCGGAUUGGAGUCUGCAACUCGACUCCAUGAAGUCGGAAUCGCUAGUAAUCGUAGAUCAGAAUGCUACGGUGAAUACGUUCCCGGGCCUUGUACACACCGCCCGUCACACCAUGGGAGUGGGUUGCAAAAGAAGUAGGUAGCUUAACCUUCGGGAGGGCGCUUACCACUUUGUGAUUCAUGACUGGGGUGAAGUCGUAACAAGGUAACCGUA
Molecule: ribosomal RNA, 1505 nt
Filed under: Kluyvera sp.
Lineage: Bacteria; Pseudomonadati; Pseudomonadota; Gammaproteobacteria; Enterobacterales; Enterobacteriaceae
Description: bacterial SSU rRNA
Rfam family: Bacterial small subunit ribosomal RNA
Source: RNAcentral